AUUAAACGCUGGCGGCAUGCCUUACACAUGCAAGUCGAACGGCAGCACGGGGGCAACCCUGGUGGCGAGUGGCGGACGGGUGAGUAAUACAUCGGAACGUGCCCUGGAGUGGGGGAUAACGCAGCGAAAGCUACGCUAAUACCGCAUAAUUCUGUGAGCAGGAAAGCAGGGGAUCGCAAGACCUUGCGCUUUGGGAGCGGCCGAUGUCGGAUUAGCUAAUUGGUGGGGUAAAGGCCUACCAAGGCGACGAUCCGUAGCGGGUCUGAGAGGAUGAUCCGCCACACUGGGACUGAGACACGGCCCAGACUCCUACGGGAGGCAGCAGUGGGGAAUUUUGGACAAUGGGCGGAAGCCUGAUCCAGUCAUGCCGCGUGAGUGAAGAAGGCCUUCGGGUUGUAAA
This 400-nucleotide ribosomal RNA is filed under the name uncultured bacterium. RNAcentral describes it as "bacterial SSU rRNA". It matches the Rfam family "Bacterial small subunit ribosomal RNA", at positions 29 to 429 of the family's 1533-position model. The record is from RNAcentral.